Molecule: long non-coding RNA, 445 nt
Filed under: Gallus gallus (chicken)
Lineage: Eukaryota; Metazoa; Chordata; Aves; Galliformes; Phasianidae
Description: long non-coding RNA NONGGAT008444
Source: RNAcentral
CCUGUUUAUGUUACUUGAUGUGGUCACCUGAGUUGAGGAGCAGUGUGGAGCUACUGCAUCCAACAAAGCAUCAAGAGAUGCUGUCACAACCCUACACACAAUCCACUGCAAGACCAAGCCACCAAUUCUGCACAGCCACCAGUGCUGUCUGUGCUUCAGGAAAACUGAGAAAAGCUGAAGAGGCUGAACUUGUCGUCCUGAAGGAGAAGAAAAUGCCUCAGAAAACCAGGAACCCUUCCAUCCAUGCUAAGAGAAUACUUGUUCAAUUAAACGACUUUUACCUGUGUGGCAGCAGCUUGUAUCUCUUAAUGUGCCAAAUCCCUGUCUCACUGUUAGUCUCUGUACCUAGUAGCUGUCUUAAAACCCCUCAGACUGAGAGGUGACCCUCUCACCUCUCUAUCUCCUCCUGGCCAUCGAAGGUCACUUCAGCAAUGUCUAAAGAGUU